This 412-nucleotide ribosomal RNA is filed under the name uncultured bacterium. RNAcentral's name for it is "bacterial SSU rRNA". It matches the Rfam family "Bacterial small subunit ribosomal RNA", at positions 917 to 1333 of the family's 1533-position model. The record is from RNAcentral.
GGGCCCGCACAAGCGGUGGAGCAUGUGGUUUAAUUCGAUGAUACGCGAGGAACCUUACCAGGGCUUAAAUGCAGAACGACAGAGGUGGAAACACCUCCUUCUUCGGACGGUCUGCAAGGUGCUGCAUGGUUGUCGUCAGCUCGUGCUGUGAAGUGUCGGGUUAAGUCCCAUAACGAGCGCAACCCCUAUUUCUAGUUGCCAGCGGUUCGGCCGGGGACUCUAGAGAAACUGCCAGCGUAAGCUGUGAGGAAGGUGGGGAUGACGUCAAAUCAUCACGGCCCUUACGUCCUGGGCUACACACGUGCUACAAUGGUAGGGACAGAGAGUUGCCAACCCGCGAGGGUGAGCUAAUCUUCAAACCCUAUCUCAGUUCGGAUUGUACUCUGUAACUCGAGUGCAUGAAGCUGGAAUU